This 347-nucleotide ribosomal RNA is filed under the name uncultured bacterium. Its description in RNAcentral is "partial 16S ribosomal RNA". It matches the Rfam family "Bacterial small subunit ribosomal RNA", at positions 338 to 696 of the family's 1533-position model. The record is from RNAcentral.
CCUACGGGAGACAGCAGUCGAGAAUCUUUCACAAUGGGGGAAACCCUGAUGGUGCGACGCCGCGUGGGGGAAUGAAGGUCUUCGGAUUGUAAACCCCUGUCAUGUGGGAGCAAAUUAAAAAGAUAGUACCACAAGAGGAAGAGACGGCUAACUCUGUGCCAGCAGCCGCGGUAAUACAGAGGUCUCAAGCGUUGUUCGGAAUCACUGGGCGUAAAGCGUGCGUAGGCUGUUUCGUAAGUCGUGUGUGAAAGGCGCGGGCUCAACCCGCGGACGGCAAAUGAUACUGGGAGACUUGAGUAAUGGAAGGGGAAACGGAAUUCGCGGUGGAGCAGUGAAAUGCGUAGAUA